GAGGGUAUAGCUCAAAGUGAUAGAGUGCAUGCUUGGCAUGUAUGAGGUCCUGGUUUCAAUCCCCAGUAUCUCCU
This 74-nucleotide transfer RNA is filed under the name Camelus bactrianus (Bactrian camel). It matches the Rfam family "tRNA". Rfam says of the family: Transfer RNA (tRNA) molecules are approximately 80 nucleotides in length. Lineage: Eukaryota; Metazoa; Chordata; Mammalia; Artiodactyla; Camelidae. The record is from Rfam by way of RNAcentral. RNAcentral also lists the same sequence under 2 other names.